Molecule: long non-coding RNA, 485 nt
Filed under: Nicotiana tabacum (common tobacco)
Lineage: Eukaryota; Viridiplantae; Streptophyta; Magnoliopsida; Solanales; Solanaceae
Description: long non-coding RNA (NTAB_LNC017581)
Source: RNAcentral
UGCAGGGUCGACUCGGCGAUGCAAGGCGAGUUCUGAACAAAACUUCUGAUUCUUUAGAAGAAGCUCAGCUAAGACUCGCCGAUAUCAAAGAAGCCGCCGGCCUACCGGAACACUGCAACGACGACAUAGUUGAAGUACCCAAACGCCCUAAAGGCGACAACGUAUGGCGGGAAUUGAUCUUCUCACCAACGCCGGCCGUCCGUCACAUACUACUCACCGGCGUCGGAAUUCAUUUUUUUCAGCAAGCAAGUGGAAUCGACGCCGUCGUUUUGUAUAGUCCGAGAAUUUUUGAAAAAGCAGGGAUUAAAUCCGAUCACGACAAGUUGCUCGCCACUGUAGCCGUUGGAUUUGUUAAAACAAUUUUCAUACUUGUAGCCACAUUCAUGCUCGACAAAUCCGGCCGGCGGCCGUUGCUGUUAACCAGUGUCGCCGGAAUGGUGCUGUCGUUGAUGCUACUCGCCACCGGCCUUACAAUCAUUGACCAA